UACGAAGGGGGCUAGCGUUGCUCGGAAUUACUGGGCGUAAAGCGCACGUAGGCGGCUUCUUAAGUCGGUGGUGAAAUCCUGGAGCUCAACUCCAGAACUGCCUUCGAUACUGGGAAGCUCGAGUCCGGGAGAGGUGAGUGGAACUGCGAGUGUAGAGGUGAAAUUCGUAGAUAUUCGCAAGAACACCAGUGGCGAAGGCGGCUCACUGGCCCGGUACUGACGCUGAGUGCGAAAGCGUGGGAGCAAGCAGG
Molecule: ribosomal RNA, 251 nt
Filed under: uncultured bacterium
Lineage: Bacteria
Description: partial 16S ribosomal RNA
Rfam family: Bacterial small subunit ribosomal RNA
Source: RNAcentral